RNAcentral lists this long non-coding RNA (677 nucleotides) under Bos grunniens (domestic yak). RNAcentral describes it as "lncRNA (ENSBGRG00000001552.1)". Lineage: Eukaryota; Metazoa; Chordata; Mammalia; Artiodactyla; Bovidae. The record is from RNAcentral.
GCAGUGUAGAGUGAAUUGUGCUGAGAUCUGCAGAGAGCAGCCCAGGGAGAAGCAGUGAAGUUGUAGACUGCAGCUGAAAUGAACUGGCCCACGUGAGCCUGCCCAAGCCCUGGGGCAAGGCCUGUGUCCUAUCGCUGAGAUAUGUUCUGAUUAUAAAAGUAAAAUGGAGAAAUAAUGACGAGGAAGCAAAGAAGACACGGAAGAAAAGAAAACACGCCUGAAACCCUAACAGAGCUUCAGAUGGUUUUUGAUCAUCCUGAGAAGAAUGAGCCUUGGCCUCCAGACCCAGUAAAACAGACAUCCAUGGAGAACAGUGUUCGUUCCUGAGGACCUGGAGGGCUUGCAGCCCAGGAGGAUUAGCUAGAAGCAGGUAAGGAACACCUGGAGGAGUGGGAUGUGGAAGCAGCAUGGGGUCCAUACUCUGUUUAGGAGGCACAGUGGAGUGCGCUGGUAAGAAGCCAUAGGGGCUCAAUGUAUGGCUACAGCUUUGCUGUUUUCUUUGUGUUUUUUAUUUAUUUAUUUUUCAGUCCCUAGUGUUGAUAGGUGAUUUGCCUAUUUCUAUAAACUAUAAGAUUUAAAUUUAUUCUGUAAUUCAAUCUACCUUUUUAAAGCACCUAUUCUGGCCAAACCCUGCAUUUGAUACCCAGCAGGUAGUGAUAUAGUGAUAUAGAUGGGUA